This 1882-nucleotide ribosomal RNA is filed under the name uncultured eukaryote. Its description in RNAcentral is "SSU rRNA". It matches the Rfam family "Eukaryotic small subunit ribosomal RNA". The record is from RNAcentral.
UGUCCAAGUAUAAGCUAUUAUACGGUGAAACUGCGGAUGGCUCAUUAUAUCAGCAAGAAUCUAUUUGAUAGUAACCCUUUACUUGGAUAACUGUUGGAAUCCGAGAGCUAAUACAUGCAAACAAGUCCUGACUCUUUGCGGGGAAGGGAUGUAUUUAUUAGAUGUGAAACCGAUGCGGGGCAUUCCAAACUGCGUCGUUGCGGGCUUGCCCUGUGGCGGCGUGGGUCCCGAUACCUAGGUGAAUCAUGAUAACUUUGCGAAUCGCAUGGCCUUGCGCCGGCGAUGAUUCAUUCGAAUUUCUGCCCUAUCAACUUUUGACGGUAGUAUAUAGGACUACCGUGGUUUUAACGGGUGACGGAGCAUUAGGGUGCGAUGCCGGAGAGGGAGCCUGAGAAACGGCUACCACGUCUACGGGCGGCAGCAGGCGCGUAAAUUACCCAAUCCUGACACAGGGAGGUAGUGACAAUAAAUAACAAUACUGGUUCCUUUGGGACGAGUAAUUGGAAUGAGGACGAUUUAAACGACCUACCGAGUAGCAAUUAGAGGGCAAGUCUGGUGCCAGCAGCCGCGGUAAUUCCAGCUCUAAUAGCGUAUUUUAAAGUUGUUGCAGUUAAGUCGCUCGUAGUUGGAUUUUAGAGUCUGGGCAGGUCGGUCUGCGUCUUACGUAUGUACUGGCCGGCCCAGCUCUCCUUAUGAGAUACUCGCCUCUGCGCUUAACUGAGUGGAGGCAGCAGGGCGCGUGGCGAGAGCUGCGUGUCCGAGUUCUCAUUCAUUUACUUUGAAUAAAUUGGAGUGUUCAAAGCAGGCAGUUUACCGCCUUGUACAAUUCAGCAUGGGAUAAUGGAAUAGGCUGUUGGCUUAUUUCGUUGGUUUCUAAGCACAACAGAAUGAUUAAGAGGGAUAGUUGGGGGUUUUCGUAUUUAAUUGUCAGAGGUGAAAUUCUUGGAUUUGUUAAAGACGAACUACUGCGAAAGCAUUAACCAAGGAUGUUUUCAUUAAUCAAGAACGAAAGUAGGGGGAUCGAAGACGAUCAGAUACCGUCGUAGUCUCUACCGUAAACGAUGCCGACCAGCAAUUCGGAGACGUUAUUUGUAUGACUCCCCGAGCAGCUUGUGAGAAAUCAGAGUGUUUGGGUACCGGGGGGAGUAUGGUCGCAAGGCUGAAACUUAAAGGCAUUGACGGAAGGGCACCACCAGGAGUGGAGCCUGCGGCUUAAUUUGACUCAACUCGGGGAAGCUUACCAGGUCCAGACAAAGUAAGGAUUGACAGAUUGAGCGCUCUUUCUUGAUUCUUUGGGUGGUGGUGCAUGGCCGUUCUUAGUUGGUGGAGUGGUUUGUCUGGUUAAUUCCGAUAACGAACGAGACCUUAACCUGCUAAAUAGUCACUGGAAGCUGCUACUAAACACGACCGUGGAGUAGGGGACCGGCGUCAAAACCGAGAGCCGAGGACGCGGCGUGUGGUUGCUUUCUAGGCUGCACUUCUUAGAGGGACUUUCUGCGCACAAGCAGGAGGAAGUUUGAGGCAAAAACAGGUCUGUGAUGCCCUUAGAUGUCUUGGGCCGCACGCGCGCUACAAUGAUUCGUUCAACGAGUUUUUUCCUGGCUCGGAAGAGCUGGGUAACCUUUUGAAAACGAAUCGUGCUGAGGUUAGAUCAUUGUAAUUAUUGAUCUCUAAUCAGGAAUUCCUAGUAAGCGCGAGUUAUCAUCUCGCGUUGAUUAAGUCCCUGCCCUUUGUACACACCGCCCGUCGCUGCUACUGAUUGGAUGAUCCGGCCAGUUGCUCGGAGGUAGGCCGACGCUGUGGGGGCAACCCUGCAGUAAGGCCCGGCAAAGUUCAACCAGCCUUACCAUCUAGAAGAAGCAGAAGUCGUAACAAGGUACUC